UAACUGCGGAUCGUACGAGCUCUAGAGAUAGAGCUUCCCUUCGGGGGACAAAGUGACAGGUGGUGCAUGGUUGUCGUCAGCUCGUGUCGUGAGAUGUUGGGUUAAGUCCCGCAACGAGCGCAACCCUUAAUCUUAUUUGCCAUCAUUAAGUUGGGCACUCUAGGUUGACUGCCGGUGACAAACCGGAGGAAGGUGGGGAUGACGUCAAAUCAUCAUGCCCCUUAUGAUUUGGGCUACACACGUGCUACAAUGGACAAUACAAAGGGCAGCUAAACCGCGAGGUCAUGCAAAUCCCAUAAAGUUGUUCUCAGUUCGGAUUGUACUCUGCAACUCGACUACAUGAAGCUGGAAUCGCUAGUAAUCGUAUAUCAGCAUGCUACGGUGAAUACUUUCCCGGGUCUUGUACACACCGA
This 413-nucleotide ribosomal RNA is filed under the name uncultured bacterium. Its description in RNAcentral is "bacterial SSU rRNA". It matches the Rfam family "Bacterial small subunit ribosomal RNA", at positions 977 to 1393 of the family's 1533-position model. The record is from RNAcentral.